Molecule: ribosomal RNA, 670 nt
Filed under: Burkholderia territorii
Lineage: Bacteria; Pseudomonadati; Pseudomonadota; Betaproteobacteria; Burkholderiales; Burkholderiaceae
Description: bacterial SSU rRNA
Rfam family: Bacterial small subunit ribosomal RNA
Source: RNAcentral
UGCAAGUCGAACGGCAGCACGGGUGCUUGCACCUGGUGGCGAGUGGCGAACGGGUGAGUAAUACAUCGGAACAUGUCCUGUAGUGGGGGAUAGCCCGGCGAAAGCCGGAUUAAUACCGCAUACGAUCCACGGAUGAAAGCGGGGGACCUUCGGGCCUCGCGCUAUAGGGUUGGCCGAUGGCUGAUUAGCUAGUUGGUGGGGUAAAGGCCUACCAAGGCGACGAUCAGUAGCUGGUCUGAGAGGACGACCAGCCACACUGGGACUGAGACACGGCCCAGACUCCUACGGGAGGCAGCAGUGGGGAAUUUUGGACAAUGGGCGAAAGCCUGAUCCAGCAAUGCCGCGUGUGUGAAGAAGGCCUUCGGGUUGUAAAGCACUUUUGUCCGGAAAGAAAUCCUUGGCUCUAAUACGGUCGGGGGAUGACGGUACCGGAAGAAUAAGCACCGGCUAACUACGUGCCAGCAGCCGCGGUAAUACGUAGGGUGCAAGCGUUAAUCGGAAUUACUGGGCGUAAAGCGUGCGCAGGCGGUUUGCUAAGACCGAUGUGAAAUCCCCGGGCUCAACCUGGGAACUGCAUUGGUGACUGGCAGGCUAGAGUAUGGCAGAGGGGGGUAGAAUUCCACGUGUAGCAGUGAAAUGCGUAGAGAUGUGGAGGAAUACCGAUGGCGAA